UCGAGAAUCAUUCGCAAUGGGCGAAAGCCUGACGAUGCGACGCCGUGUGAACGAAGAAGGCCUUAGGGUUGUAAAGUUCUUUCGCUUGGGAACAAGAGAUGCAGAUUAAUAACCUGCAAAUUUGAGGGUACCAAGUAAAGAAGCACCGGCUAACUCCGUGCCAGCAGCUGCGGUAAUACGGAGGGUGCAAGCAUUAAUCGGAUUUACUGGGCGUAAAGAGCGCGUAGGCCGGAUUGAAAGUUAGAUGUGAAAGCCCAGGGCUCAACCCUGGAAUUGCAUCUAAAACUUCAUUCCUUGAGGAUAGACGGAGAAGACAGAAUUCCACGUGUAGCGGUGAAAUGCGUAGAUAU
RNAcentral lists this ribosomal RNA (350 nucleotides) under uncultured bacterium. Its description in RNAcentral is "bacterial SSU rRNA". It matches the Rfam family "Bacterial small subunit ribosomal RNA", at positions 355 to 697 of the family's 1533-position model. The record is from RNAcentral.